RNAcentral lists this ribosomal RNA (523 nucleotides) under uncultured bacterium. Its description in RNAcentral is "partial 16S ribosomal RNA". It matches the Rfam family "Bacterial small subunit ribosomal RNA", at positions 28 to 523 of the family's 1533-position model. The record is from RNAcentral.
GACGAACGCUGGCGGCGUGCUUAACACAUGCAAGUCGAACGGACAGACAGAGAGCUUGCUCUCUUGAAGUUAGUGGCGAACGGGUGAGUAACGCGUAAUCAACCUGCCCUUCAGAGGGGGAUAACAACGGGAAACCGUUGCUAAUACCGCGUACGAUUCAUGAACGGCAUCGUGUAUGAAUGAAAGGUGGCCUCUAUGUAUAAGCUAUCGCUGAAGGAGGGGAUUGCGUGUGAUUAGCUAGUUGGAGGGGUAACGGCCCACCAAGGCAAUGAUCAGUAGCCGGCCUGAGAGGAUGAACGGCCACAUUGGGACUGAGACACGGCCCAAACUCCUACGGGAGGCAGCAGUGGGGAAUCUUGCACAAUGGGCGAAAGCCUGAUGCAGCGACGCCGCGUGGAGGAUGAAGGUUUUCGGAUUGUAAACUCCUGUUAAGUGGGAAGAAAGAUCCAUACCUAAUACGUAUGGAGGAUGACGGUACCACUAGAGAAAGCACCGGCAAACUUCGUGCCAGCCGCCGCCGUAA